RNAcentral lists this ribosomal RNA (253 nucleotides) under uncultured bacterium. Its description in RNAcentral is "partial 16S ribosomal RNA". It matches the Rfam family "Bacterial small subunit ribosomal RNA", at positions 524 to 776 of the family's 1533-position model. The record is from RNAcentral.
CACGUAGGGCGCAAGCGUUGUCCGGAAUUAUUGGGCGUAAAGAGCUCGUAGGCGGUCUGUCACGUCGGCUGUGAAAACCCGAGGCUCAACCUCGGGCCUGCAGUCGAUACGGGCAAACUAGAGUACUGCAGGGGAGACUGGAAUUCCUGGUGUAGCGGUGAAAUGCGCAGAUAUCAGGAGGAACACCGGUGGCGAAGGCGGGUCUCUGGGCAGUAACUGACGCUGAGGAGCGAAAGCGUGGGGAGCGAACAGG